Molecule: ribosomal RNA, 235 nt
Filed under: uncultured bacterium
Lineage: Bacteria
Description: partial 16S ribosomal RNA
Rfam family: Bacterial small subunit ribosomal RNA
Source: RNAcentral
CCGGGUGGAGGUAACAACGUAAUCCAGCCUGCCGUCUACUCUUGGACAGCCUUCUGAAGGAAGAUUAAUACAAGAUGGCAUCAUGAGUUCACAUGUUCACAUGAUUAAAGGUAUUCUGGUAGACGAUGGGGAUGCGUUCCAUUAGAUAGUAGGCGGGGUAACGGCCCACCUAGUCUUCGAUGGAUAGGGGUUCUGAGAGGAAGGUCCCCCACAUUGGAACUGGGACACGGUCCAA